RNAcentral lists this long non-coding RNA (566 nucleotides) under Prunus persica (peach). RNAcentral's name for it is "long non-coding RNA (PPER_LNC001963)". The record is from RNAcentral. Lineage: Eukaryota; Viridiplantae; Streptophyta; Magnoliopsida; Rosales; Rosaceae.
GAAGGUAAUCAAUAGAAAGAUUGAUUCUAGUCGAUUGUGAUCUAAUGUUGGUUGUGACCUAAUAGGAGAUUACUUCCUUCGAAGGUUAGGGUUACUCUACUAUACAAAAGAUACGAAGAUCAUCUCUUGACACACAAUUUUUCACCUACAAACUUUAUACUAAAUCCAAAGCUUUCAGUCAAAGACACUCGUCUCUUUACUAUUUGCUCUGCCAAGCGUCCUUGGUAUCGAUUACCAGAAGGCCAUUCUGGUUGCACUCUUGUCUUGUUCUGAUCCAUUAGAACCGUACAGUUCCGAUCCUUACUCAUUUUCCACCUAUUCCUUAGUUAUGCUUUGAACCAGAAUUGAUACAAGGUGGUGGCAACUUGUAGCUAUGGUCGAUCUGUUUAUUUGCUUUCAUUCGUUUUCACUGUUUUAUUUACUUUUAUUGCCCUUUCCAUUGUAUUAAAUUAUGAAGUCCUUAUUUGUCUUAAAGCUUAAAAAAAAAAAAAAAAAAACCCUCAUUGAUUUCGUUUACCGUUUCAAAUUCAAUUCACAUUCUUUUGAUUAUAGUCAUUUACUUGGUG